Molecule: transfer RNA, 75 nt
Filed under: Akkermansiaceae bacterium
Lineage: Bacteria; Pseudomonadati; Verrucomicrobiota; Verrucomicrobiia; Verrucomicrobiales; Akkermansiaceae
Description: tRNA-Val
Rfam family: tRNA
About the family: Transfer RNA (tRNA) molecules are approximately 80 nucleotides in length. Their secondary structure includes four short double-helical elements and three loops (D, anti-codon, and T loops).
Source: RNAcentral
GCUCGGUUAGCUCAGUGGUAGAGCGCUACCUUCACACGGUAGACGUCACUGGUUCAAAUCCAGUACCGAGUACCA